GACGAACGCUGGCGGCGUGGAUUAGGCAUGCAAGUCGAACGCGAAAGAGGGAGCAAUCCCUCAAGUAGAGUGGCGAACGGGUGAGUAACGCGUGAAGAACCUGCCUUCAACAGGGGGAUAACACUCCCAACGGGGUGCUAAUACCGCAUGAGACCACGGGUCCGCAUGGACCUGAGGUCAAAGGUGGCCUCUGCUUGCAAGCUACCGGUUGAAGAUGGCUUCGCGUCCCAUAGCUAGUUGGCGGUGUAAAAGACCACCAAGGCGACGAUGGGUAGCUGGUCUGAGAGGAUGGUCAGCCACACUGGGACUGAGAUACGGCCCAGACUCCUACGGGAGGCAGCAGUCGAGAGGCUUUGGCAAUGGGGAAACCCUGACCAAGCGACGCCGCGUGGAGGAUGAAGG
This 402-nucleotide ribosomal RNA is filed under the name uncultured bacterium. RNAcentral's name for it is "bacterial SSU rRNA". It matches the Rfam family "Bacterial small subunit ribosomal RNA", at positions 28 to 414 of the family's 1533-position model. The record is from RNAcentral.